RNAcentral lists this ribosomal RNA (518 nucleotides) under uncultured fungus. Its description in RNAcentral is "eukaryotic LSU rRNA". The stretch from base 143 to 296 matches the Rfam family "5.8S ribosomal RNA". Lineage: Eukaryota; Fungi. The record is from RNAcentral.
AAGUCGUAACAAGGUUUCCGUAGGUGAACCUGCGGAAGGAUCAUUGAUGAAAGGAAUCGUAAGAUUCCGAUUAUCCAACUUCACUUGUGCACUGUCAUUUUUUAAAUGCUAUGUAUGAAUGGUAUUAUUUAAUAAUUAAUACAACUUUCAGCAACGGAUCUCUUGGCUCCCAUAUCGAUGAAGAGCGCAGCGAAGUGCGAUAACUAACGUGAAUCGCAGAACUUUGUGAAUCGUCGAGUCUUUGAACGCACCCUGCGCUCUCUGGUAUUCCGGAGAGCACAUCUGUUUGAGUGUCAUUUUAACCCUCAACUCAUUGGUUUUUUUUACGAAGACUGUGAGUUUGAAUAAUGGAUGAUGCAUUUGUUAAUGCUCGUCUGAAAUGAACAAUCAACCUGUUGUGUUGCACUUUUGUUAUAGUUUUUCUCUCAAAAGGGUGAUGUGACGGAGGGUUGACUCUGGAUUUCGGUCCACCUUUGAUUCAAGACCUCAAAUCAGAUGGGAUUACCCGCUGAACUUAA